UACGUAGGGGGCAAGCGUUGUCCGGAAUCAUUGGGCGUAAAGAGCGUGUAGGCGGCUUGGUAAGUCCGCUGUGAAAGUCCAGGGCUCAACCCUAGAAAGCCGGUGGAAACUGUCAAGCUUGAGUCCGGAAGAGGCGAGUGGAAUUCCUGGUGUAGCGGUGAAAUGCGCAGAUAUCAGGAGGAACACCAAUGGCGAAGGCAGCUCGCUGGGACGGUACUGACGCUGAGACGCGAAAGCGUGGGGAGCAAACAGG
Molecule: ribosomal RNA, 253 nt
Filed under: uncultured bacterium
Lineage: Bacteria
Description: partial 16S ribosomal RNA
Rfam family: Bacterial small subunit ribosomal RNA
Source: RNAcentral